Molecule: ribosomal RNA, 391 nt
Filed under: uncultured bacterium
Lineage: Bacteria
Description: bacterial SSU rRNA
Rfam family: Bacterial small subunit ribosomal RNA
Source: RNAcentral
GGACGAACGCUGGCGGCGUGCUUAACACAUGCAAGUCACGGGGGCUCAGCAAUGAGGCAACCGGCGAACGGGUGCGUAACACGUGAGCAACCUACCGAUUUGAGGGGGAUAGCUGGGCCUAACGGCCAGGUAAUACCGCAUACGCUCGUAAGGCCACCUGGUCUAACGAGGAAACCUUCCGGGGCAGAAUCGAGGGGCUCGCGGCCUAUCAGCUAGUUGGCGAGGUCACGGCUCACCGAAGGCGACGACGGGUAGCUGGUCUGAGAGGAUGGCCAGCCACAUUGGGACUGAGAAACGGCCCAGACUCCUACGGGAGGCAGCAGUGGGGAAUCUUGCGCAAUGGACGAAAGUCUGAACGCAGCGACGCCGCGUGGGGAUGAAGGCUUUCGGG